This 305-nucleotide ribosomal RNA is filed under the name uncultured bacterium. RNAcentral's name for it is "bacterial SSU rRNA". It matches the Rfam family "Bacterial small subunit ribosomal RNA", at positions 333 to 636 of the family's 1533-position model. The record is from RNAcentral.
CACGUCCUACGGGGCGCAGCAGUGAGGAAUAUUGGUCAAUGGUCGGGAGACUGAACCAGCCAAGCCGCGUGAGGGAGGAAGGUACAGAGUAUCGUAAACCUCUUUUGUCAGGGAACAAAGACUGGGACGCGUCCCCGGAUGAGUGUACCUGAAGAAAAAGCAUCGGCUAACUCCGUGCCAGCAGCCGCGGUAAUACGGAGGAUGCGAGCGUUAUCCGGAUUUAUUGGGUUUAAAGGGUGCGCAGGCGGUCUGUUAAGUCAGCGGUCAAAGCCCGGGGCUCAACCCCGGCCCGCCGUUGAAACUGG